UAAUUUAAAAAUAUUAUAUUAUUUUAUCAUUAUUAAUACUAAUUAACUCUAUAUUAUUAAAAAAGAUAUUAGAACUGGGGUUCUUUGUGGGUAAUUUUUAUGGCUUUUAUGCUCAAACUUCUACUUUUGACUUAAUUGACUAGGAAUGUAAAGCACAUUUUCAUACAUGGACACGAGAACUGAUAUUUUUUAAUAAAUUAUUUCAACCUGAUUCUUUUCACAUUAAUAAUAAAUAAAUCCCACAUUUAUUUCACAUUGUAAAUAAAUCCCACAUUCAUGAUGCAAAAGAGACUUGGAACUAUCAUUUUUUUUCAGGUGAAAAUGUUAGUUUCCAUUAAAAAAAAACCUGAUUUUUUUUUUACUUAACUACACUCCCUAUUAUCCUAAGCUCUUUCUAUGGCAAUAUAGAGAGAUGCUAUCAUUAAUUACAAUUGAAAUACUGAUUAAAAAUGCAUCAAAAGCAAUUAUUAUUUAUUGGUAAAUAUUUUCACAACAUAUUAAACUUCAAUCUUGCCCAGAAAACUGAUCACUCAUGAACCAACAUAUGAUAAAAAGUACAAAUACUAUCUCCUACUAUCACAAUCUCUCUAUAAAUAAAAAUUAAUAUUGUAGUAUACAAUUGAUUGACUAGGAAAAAUUAAAAGGAAAAAGAAAAAAUAAAUCAUCAAAAAAACUACAAAAAAUAAAUACAUUCAACUAUUUAAGGUCAACUCCCAAGAUCUGUACAGCCAAUAAGAAUCUAGUUAGUUCUCCUUCUCUAUACAGGCCUUGCAAAUAUUAUGUUAGAUUCAUGACCCCUGCGCAAACCUACAGAUCAGAAAUUUAUAAAUAUAUACAUAUAGAUUACAUAUAUACACAUGUAUAUAUUUAGAUAUAUAGAUGUAUAGAAAAAACCGAAAAGUGAAUGCCUGGACAGAUGUAUUUGACUUUCCUCAAGGACCAUAAAUGGAAAAAAAGGAAACUAUUUUAGAUUGUGGAAGAACAGAAACUAAAUUAGGAUGCCAUAUACGUAGACAGAGAAUCUAACAUUUUAUCUCCUUGUGAAGAGUUAAUAAAACACAUACAUAUUUGCACGUGUAUAUAUAUAUAUAUGUAUAUAUAUAUAUAUAUAUAUAUAUAUAUAACACAUACAUAUACAUGUAUAUAUAUAUAUGUACAUAUACAUACAUCUCCUUGUGAAGAGUUGAUAAAACACAUACAUAUUUGCACGUGUAUAUAUAUAUAUAUAUACAUAUAUGUAUAUAUAUAUAUAUAUAUAUAUAUAUAUAUAUAUAUGUAUACAUAUAACACAUACAUAUACAUGUACAUAAGCACGAUAUGAUUAAUAUAUAAAAGGAGAUUAGAAUAGAGUAAAGUGUAGAGCUCCCUUCAAUCCAAACAAGGAUCUGAAGCUGGGUAAUGCAGCUCCUGAUAUAUGCAAGCCACAAGCUUAUCCUCCAUAUAGAUAAAGGAAUGGGAUAGGGCUUGAGGGAUCCAUAGAUCAGCAGCUCUAUUUUCCCACAAAGUUCCUCUAUUGGACUUUAAGGAGCUCCACUCAAAACUCUUUAACAUAAAAAUUAGAAGAAAUAAAUAGUUAAGAAAAUUAUCAAGAAUUAACUUUUUCUAGUAAAAUUCAUAAAACCCAAAAACCAAAAAUCUAGAUGUAUAAAAUCUGAAACUAAAAAUCUUACCUUUACAAGAUCCCAAUACGAAAUGAUUAAAAGGUAAUCAUCAAGAAACAAACUAUGUCCUAAAAUCAAUGGAACCCAUAAAAACCCACAACUAUGAAAUAAAAAAAUCAAGAAAAUAUUCUAGAGACGGCAGAUCUAUGAAUAUCUAACCACACCCUUGUACAAAUAUAGGGUUGUUAAGAAAACCCAUGAAUCUUUUCAUCAAAACUAGGAGCAUGAGAGAUCUAAAAAGAAAAUCAAACCAUUUCUUGACCUAAGAUCUAGUUU
RNAcentral lists this long non-coding RNA (1937 nucleotides) under Panax ginseng (ginseng). RNAcentral describes it as "long non-coding RNA (PGIN_LNC015806)". The record is from RNAcentral. Lineage: Eukaryota; Viridiplantae; Streptophyta; Magnoliopsida; Apiales; Araliaceae.